RNAcentral lists this ribosomal RNA (2895 nucleotides) under Triticum aestivum (bread wheat). RNAcentral describes it as "partial small subunit ribosomal RNA". The record is from RNAcentral. Lineage: Eukaryota; Viridiplantae; Streptophyta; Magnoliopsida; Poales; Poaceae.
AUGGCUGCGGCUAUGCGCCGUCUGAUUCCUUCACGCCUCGCCGCAUUGAGCAGAGCCACCGCGGGGCGUCUGCGAAGGAAGGCUUCCCUAGGCGGCGGAGUCCUGCGGCUUGGACCUGUGGGGAAAGCGGAUCCAUGGAGGAGCAUUUCCACUACGCCAGAUUGGAACAGGUACAAGGGGCCGCCAAAGCCGAGCUUCUCAUGGAAACUGCAAGAUCUGCUCAACGAUGAUUUCUUCAAGAACGAGGUGAAGGUGAUACCAACAACUUUCACUUCGGUAGAGGGGUACAUGGGCUCAUUCAUGGCUCCACUAUUGGAAGAAGCUCGGGCGGAUCUCUGCUCCGCAUUGCACGGCAUCCGGCACGCGCCGGUGGCCCAAGUGAUCUGGAUCCAACAGGAACGCACUUCAGAAUUCUGUAUCUCGUUCAAGGAACCUCGGCCAGCUGGUAGUUACGCCCCGAAAGUCGAGGAUAUAUUGGUGCUCACAAGUCGGAAACCGACCCGCCACAUAGAUUUGGACCCAUUUGUCAUAGCUGUAGUGCCUCCAUCCGAAGAUAGUAAAAGUGAAAGCAAGGAUGACGAAGGCACCACCACCGGCUAUUCUGAAGAUAUGGACAAUACUGUCACCUCUUCACAAGACAGUGCCGUGCCAUUUCUUCUCAAGAAAAAUGCCACAGCAGUUGAUGUAGAGGCAUGGGCUCACCCCCUUUUCGAAAAAGAAAAGGAAAAUGCACCAACACCUCCCCCCCAAGUGGUAGACACUGGCACAACAAUAUUAAUAAGGCUGCUGUCGGGUAAACUACCUGUCAAACGACAAGGUCAAAAAGAAGUGAUCGCAUUGCCUCUUUUUGCGGUCUUUCUUAUCAAUAUGAAGACCAACAAUCAUAUACAUGAUGCACUGGAACUGAAAGCCGGCAUCCUUAGCCGUUGGGGCAGUAGCCUCGUAGAGAGGAUUGCAGAGUAUGCUCCAACUGCCGGCCAGGAUCGCAAUUCAUUGUUGCCAGAGGUACCUUCAGGGUUAGCGUCAGAUAAGGCGCUGGAUGGCCUUGAAAAAUUCAAGCUCAACACCUCACAGCAGAAGGCGGUACUUGAUUGUGUUUCAGCAAUGGAUCAAGCUAGGUGCUGGGUGCGUCUUAUUUGGGGACCACCUGGGACAGGGAAAACCAAGGCCAUCAUAUCUCUCUUGUGGUCAAUGCUGAUGAAAAACCGCAGGACACUAGCUUGCGCUCCGACCAACACGGCGGUUGUGGAGGUUGCCUCCCGUGUCCUCGGUCUUCUCAAGGAUGAGUCAUAUGGCGGCGGUGGCAAACACUUCUCGCUGGGCAAUGUCGUGUUGUUUGGCAACGAAGAUCGGAUGAACGUGGAUGAAAAGCUCGCAAACAUCUUCUUGGAUCGGCGUGUGUACCGACUUGUGAAUGUGGCGGCACGCUGGAGGCACUAUGUGAACCGCAUGCUAGAACUUCUUGCCAAGCCAUUGGCCAUGCACUCUUCGUAUCUUAAGGAUGUUCGACCGGAGCGUACGGGUGAUAUUUUGCGGCUGCAAGGGGUGGGGGAUGCUGAACUAGAGAGGAGGAGGAAGUUGACAUUCAAGGAAUUCUUCAUAGAAAAUUACGAAUGUCACGAGGAAGCACUGCGCCGCUGCUUCGAGACUAUCCGCAAUGAUCUGCCCUUACCCGCUAGGAGAUUUGAUUACCUGGAUGAGACCCUGCGCUCGCUCGAAGCUUUCGGGAAACUUCUCCGGUCCGAGCCGGAGCGCCCGCUGGGGAAACUCUUCCUCAAAAACGGGGGGUGGCCAGAGUUCCAAGAAGCAAGAGCAUUGUGUCUUAACAAGCUAAAACACUUGCCCGAUUGGUUUGAUUUGCUUCCAAGCGAUUCAAGCAAAAUCGAAGACUACAUACUGAACAACGCCACGAUCAUACUUUGCACUGCUGCUAGCUCAUUCAAUCUGCGCCGCGUCCGUGAUUUCCAGCGGUUUGAGCUCCUUGUUAUCGACGAGGCGGCGCAGCUCAAGGAGUGCGAGUCACUGAUACCUCUACAGCUUGGUAUCCACCGUGCUGUUCUUAUCGGUGAUGAAUGCCAGCUACCAGCGCUUGUCAAAAGCAAGCUCAGCGUUGAGGCCGGCUUUGGAAGAAGUCUGUUUGAGAGGCUUUGCUUGCUAGGACACCCGAAGCACCUCCUCGAUGUGCAGUACAGGAUGCACCCGGAAAUAAGCAAGUUCCCCAUCUCGAGUUUUUACUGUAGGAAGGUAACAGAUGGCCCCAACGUCCUUCACAGAGACUACGAGAGGAAGCUCCUGGAUGGCCCAAUGUAUGGCACCUACUCCUUCAUCAACAUCCAAGGUGGGAUCGAAAGCUCGGGCAUGCAUGGCACAAGCCUAAGCAAUGCUGCUGAGGUCGCUGCGGUGACCCGGAUUGUGCAGAGAUUGUCCCAAGUUGACACAAAAAGCAAGCUCAGCGUGGGCGUGGUAUCACCGUACAAGGCCCAAGUCCGCGCCAUCCAGGAGAGCCUUGCUUUGGAGCACGACAAGUACGGCGGUUUAUCCGUAAAGAUCCGAACCGUGGACGGGUUCCAGGGUGCCGAGGAGGAUGUCGUCAUCUUCUCCGCUGUGCGGGCCAAUACCCAUGGAUCGGUCGGGUUCCUCUCCGAUCAGAGGCGUACCAAUGUGGCGCAAACACGAGCCAAGCAUUGCUUCUGGAUUCUUGGCGACGCUGCUACGUUGUCGAGCAGCAGGACAAUCUGGCAGAAGAUAGUGGCCGAUGCAAAGGAAAGAGGAUGCUUCUAUGAUGGCAACGACGACAACGACCUCUUGGCUGUGGUGAGCGUCGCAAUCAAGCAAGAUGAAGUCACCCGUCUGCUCAAGAUGGUGGAUGCUCGUCUUGGUAUAUGCAGCUCGUGA